Molecule: long non-coding RNA, 100 nt
Organism: Salarias fasciatus (jewelled blenny)
Lineage: Eukaryota; Metazoa; Chordata; Actinopteri; Blenniiformes; Blenniidae
Exons: 3
Source: RefSeq, a predicted model, not a curated record
GUUUUCAUGUCGGUUUUGUUAUGUUUUUUUCUGGUCACGUGACACAUGAAUGUGAAGACAAAUGACUGCGCUGCAUUUCUCUGUAUAAUUUUGCAUUGGA